CGUGGCGGCGCUUGGGUGUCGGGCCUCCGAGGCUCCGGCCUGACCUCUCCACGGGGUCCACAGGAACGUCUCCGGCUGCCAGGAGUCACAAGGGGCCGAGCAGGAUGAGGAAACCACAGGCGGAGUCCGGGGGAAGCAGCGUGGCAUCCCAGCCUCAGGCCUGCCAGGACGGUGUUCGGGAACGUCUCUGGCUGCCAGGAGUCGCAAGGGGCUGAGCAGGAUGAGGAAACCACAGGCGGAGUCCGGUGGAAGCAGCGUGGCAUCCCAGCCUCAGGCCUGCCAGGAAGAAACCCGUCCCUGAGGCUUGGCAAAGUAGGAGCCCUCCGUGGCAGUGCUUGGGUGUCGGGGCUCCGAGGCUCCGGCCUGACCUCUCCACGGGGUCGACAGGAACAUCUCUGGCUGCCAGGAGUCGCAAAGGGCCGACCAGGAUGACGAAACCACAGGCGAAGUCCGGGGGAAGCGGCAUGGCAUGCCAGCCUCAGGCCUGCCAGGACGGUGUUCGGGACUGACUCUAACUAUGUGAAGAACUGCUACA
This 535-nucleotide long non-coding RNA is filed under the name Homo sapiens (human). RNAcentral's name for it is "long non-coding RNA NONHSAT175018.1". The record is from RNAcentral. Lineage: Eukaryota; Metazoa; Chordata; Mammalia; Primates; Hominidae.